RNAcentral lists this unclassified non-coding RNA (229 nucleotides) under plant metagenome. Its description in RNAcentral is "partial contains small subunit ribosomal RNA, internal transcribed spacer 1, and 5.8S ribosomal RNA". The record is from RNAcentral.
GCUCCGUAGGUGAACCUGCGGAGGGAUCAUUACAGAGUUCAUGCCCUACCGGGUAGAUCUCCCACCCUAUGUUAUUAUUACUUUGUUGCUUUGGCGGGCCGUUAGGCUUCGACCCGACUACCGGCCCCGGCUGGUAAGCGCCCGCCAGAGGACCCAAAACCCUGAAUAUUAGUGUCGUCUGAGUACUAUAUAAUAGUUAAAACUUUCAACGACGGAUCUCUUGGUUCUG